GGUUAAGCGACUAAGCGUACACGGUGGAUGCCCUGGCAGUCAGAGGCGAUGAAGGACGUGCUAAUCUGCGAAAAGCGCCGGCGAGGUGAUAUGAACCUUUGACCCGGCGAUGUCCGAAUGGGGAAACCCAGUGCAAUCCGUUGCACUAUCGUUAACUGAAUACAUAGGUUAACGAGGCGAACCGGGGGAACUGAAACAUCUAAGUACCCCGAGGAAAAGAAAUCAACCGAGAUUCCCCCAGUAGCGGCGAGCGAACGGGGAGCAGCCCGGAGUCUGAAUCAGCUUGUGUGUUAGUGGAACGGUCUGGAAAGUCCGACGGUACAGGGUGAUAGUCCCGUACACGAAAGCACACUUGCUGUGAACUCGAAGAGUAGGGCGGGACACGUGGUAUCCUGUCUGAAUAUGGGGGGACCAUCCUCCAAGGCUAAAUACUCCUGACUGACCGAUAGUGAACCAGUACCGUGAGGGAAAGGCGAAAAGAACCCCGGCGAGGGGAGUGAAAAAGAACCUGAAACCGUGUACGUACAAGCAGUGGGAGCCUCUUUAUGGGGUGACUGCGUACCUUUUGUAUAAUGGGUCAGCGACUUAUAUUCUGUAGCAAGGUUAACCGUAUAGGGGAGCCGAAGGGAAACCGAGUCUUAACUGGGCGUUAAGUUGCAGGGUAUAGACCCGAAACCCGGUGAUCUAGCCAUGGGCAGGUUGAAGGUUGGGUAACACUAACUGGAGGACCGAACCGACUAAUGUUGAAAAAUUAGCGGAUGACCUGUGGCUGGGGGUGAAAGGCCAAUCAAACCGGGAGAUAGCUGGUUCUCCCCGAAAGCUAUUUAGGUAGCGCCUCGUGAACUCAUCUUCGGGGUAGAGCACUGUUUCGGCUAGGGGGCCAUCCCGGCUUACCAACCCGAUGCAAACUACGAAUACCGAAGAAUGUUAUCACGGGAGACACACGGCGGGUGCUAACGUCCGUCGUGAAGAGGGAAACAACCCAGACCGCCAGCUAAGGUCCCAAAGUCAUGGUUAAGUGGGAAACGAUGUGGGAAGGCACAGACAGCCAGGAUGUUGGCUUAGAAGCAGCCAUCAUUUAAAGAAAGCGUAAUAGCUCACUGGUCGAGUCGGCCUGCGCGGAAGAUGUAACGGGGCUAAACCAUGCACCGAAGCUGCGGCAGCGACACUAUGUGUUGUUGGGUAGGGGAGCGUUCUGUAAGCCGUUGAAGGUGUGCUGUGAGGCAUGCUGGAGGUAUCAGAAGUGCGAAUGCUGACAUAAGUAACGAUAAAGCGGGUGAAAAGCCCGCUCGCCGGAAGACCAAGGGUUCCUGUCCAACGUUAAUCGGGGCAGGGUGAGUCGACCCCUAAGGCGAGGCCGAAAGGCGUAGUCGAUGGGAAACAGGUUAAUAUUCCUGUACUUGGUGUUACUGCGAAGGGGGGACGGAGAAGGCUAUGUCAGCCGGGCGACGGUUGUCCCGGUUUAAGCAUGUAGGCGGAGGUUCCAGGUAAAUCCGGUACCUUUUAACGCUGAGGUGUGAUGACGAGGCACUACGGUGCUGAAGUGAUAAAUGCCCUGCUUCCAGGAAAAGCCUCUAAGCAUCAGGUAACACGAAAUCGUACCCCAAACCGACACAGGUGGUCAGGUAGAGAAUACCAAGGCGCUUGAGAGAACUCGGGUGAAGGAACUAGGCAAAAUGGUGCCGUAACUUCGGGAGAAGGCACGCUGAUGUGUAGGUGAAGCCCCUGCGGGUGGAGCUGAAAUCAGUCGAAGAUACCAGCUGGCUGCAACUGUUUAUUAAAAACACAGCACUGUGCAAACACGAAAGUGGACGUAUACGGUGUGACGCCUGCCCGGUGCCGGAAGGUUAAUUGAUGGGGUUAGCGGCAACGCGAAGCUCUUGAUCGAAGCCCCGGUAAACGGCGGCCGUAACUAUAACGGUCCUAAGGUAGCGAAAUUCCUUGUCGGGUAAGUUCCGACCUGCACGAAUGGCGUAAUGAUGGCCAGGCUGUCUCCACCCGAGACUCAGUGAAAUUGAACUCGCUGUGAAGAUGCAGUGUACCCGCGGCAAGACGGAAAGACCCCGUGAACCUUUACUAUAGCUUGACACUGAACACUGGUCCUUGAUGUGUAGGAUAGGUGGGAGGCUUUGAAGCGUGGACGCCAGUCUGCGUGGAGCCAACCUUGAAAUACCACCCUUUAAUGGCUGGUGUUCUAACGUAGACCCGUAAUCCGGGUUGCGGACAGUGUCUGGUGGGUAGUUUGACUGGGGCGGUCUCCUCCCAAAGAGUAACGGAGGAGCACGAAGGUUGGCUAAUCCUGGUCGGACAUCAGGAGGUUAGUGCAAUGGCAUAAGCCAGCUUGACUGCGAGCGUGACGGCGCGAGCAGGUGCGAAAGCAGGUCAUAGUGAUCCGGUGGUUCUGAAUGGAAGGGCCAUCGCUCAACGGAUAAAAGGUACUCCGGGGAUAACAGGCUGAUACCGCCCAAGAGUUCAUAUCGACGGCGGUGUUUGGCACCUCGAUGUCGGCUCAUCACAUCCUGGGGCUGAAGUAGGUCCCAAGGGUAUGGCUGUUCGCCAUUUAAAGUGGUACGCGAGCUGGGUUUAGAACGUCGUGAGACAGUUCGGUCCCUAUCUGCCGUGGGCGCUGGAGAAUUGAGGGGGGCUGCUCCUAGUACGAGAGGACCGGAGUGGACGCAUCACUGGUGUUCGGGUUGUCAUGCCAAUGGCACUGCCCGGUAGCUAAAUGCGGAAGAGAUAAGUGCUGAAAGCAUCUAAGCACGAAACUUGCCCCGAGAUGAGUUCUCCCUGAGACCUUGAGUCUCCUGAAGGAACGUUGAAGACGACGACGUUGAUAGGUCGGGUGUGUAAGCGCAGCGAUGCGUUGAGCUAACCGAUACUAAUGAACCGUGAGGCUUAACCUU
This 2903-nucleotide ribosomal RNA is filed under the name Enterobacter hormaechei. RNAcentral describes it as "23S ribosomal RNA". It matches the Rfam family "Bacterial large subunit ribosomal RNA". The record is from RNAcentral. Lineage: Bacteria; Pseudomonadati; Pseudomonadota; Gammaproteobacteria; Enterobacterales; Enterobacteriaceae.